Molecule: long non-coding RNA, 2425 nt
Filed under: Vulpes vulpes (red fox)
Lineage: Eukaryota; Metazoa; Chordata; Mammalia; Carnivora; Canidae
Description: lncRNA (ENSVVUG00000023477.1)
Source: RNAcentral
CGGGCCGGGGGGGGGGGGGGUCCCCGCGCGAGCCGGGGACAGUCCUUACCUCGAUGGGGCUGACGGGAGUGGAAGGCAGGGGCUGCAGGUACUCGGGGUGCAAAAUGUGGCCAGUCCGUGCCGUCAGCAUCUUCAGCACCUUGAUGGGCAGGCGGUUAGCCUGGCGGAGAGGGUCAGAGGGGGGCACAGCGUGCACAAAAGGCUUGGUGCUGCCGGCCGGGGACGAGCCUUGGCCGGGGCCGGAGCUAUUUCCAGAGAGCGCGCUGGUCCAGGCAGGGUCCGCGCCGCCGCCGCCGCCGCCGCCGCCGCUGUGCUUACUGCUUCUUAGGGCAGAAAGCGAGGGCGCUGUGCUCAUGACCCACCCGCACGCAUGGGAGCAGCGGGGGGAGGGCUCCGGGAGGCGCGGGGCGGGCUNNNNNNNNNNNNNNNNNNNNNNNNNNNNNNNNNNNNNNNNNNNNNNNNNNNNNNNNNNNNNNNNNNNNNNNNNNNNNNNNNNNNNNNNNNNNNNNNNNNNNNNNGUCCGCCUCGGGCUGCGCCCCUGCGCUGCGCGCUGGCGACCCGGCGCUGGCGCUGCGCUGGGCGAUGUGAGCCGCUGCCUGUCCAGCCGGGGCUCUGGCGAGGAAACUCACUUCAAAAGCAGCUGCACCGAGGGGGAGAUUAAAGCCUUUGCCGCCUUCCAAUCAAAUGGGAGCCCGAGAAUCGACGGGAUUUCUCUGCGGUUUGCGCCUCCAGGAUCCGAAUAAAUGCAGCUCGCAGGCAUCCGGCAGGAAACGGCUCCCGGUUCGAGUGUAUGCAGACGCAUCGGCCCAGCGCGGGACGCGAGGUGGCUCCUUGGUGAUCUUGCGGCUGCAGGUCCGGCCUCCAAAGGAGACUGGGCUGUGAGCGCCCUCAGGCCGGGGGCGGCCCCUUGCUGCCCCGCGGUGCCCGGCAGCCCCCAUCCCUGGGGGGCGGGGGUGCCUCGGGAACCCGCCGGGCGGAGUCCGCCCUCGGCGAAAACUGAAAGCAAAUGCCGAGGCAAAAGAAGCCCGAACUUUCUUCGACGCAACUUUGCCACAACGAUCCGGUGGCGACUUAGGCAGGACCGCGCGCUGGUGCGCGCGCGCGCGCAAGGUGGGGGCGCCGGCUGAAGGAGGCUUGGGGCGGCCGAGCCUGGCCCGAGGCGAAACCCUAGGGAAGGCGCCUCCCCUUCCUUAUUUCUCGCCAACCCCUCGGCCUCCGUCGGUAAAAAAUAGUUUCCAGUGGGUAGCGGACGCCCAGCAUGUGUUGGUGGGGAUCGCACCAGGGAGAAGGAAGCUUUGUAAAAGUUGCAGAAAGAGCUCUGCCCAGAAGCGUCCGCCCAGCAGGGCUCGCAGGGAAGGUCGGGGGACCAGCUCGCCUUCCCCGGGGCGGGAUGCCUAGCAAUCGGCUUGGGGAACCCCCGGCCCAGUCCUCUCCGCUCACCUCGAACCCCCGCGUGAAUAACCCCCGGCGGGCUGCGCUGGAAACUUAGAGGCGCGGCGCCGCGGUUGGCGGGCGAGGCCGGGACGCUGAGCCGGCCCGCAAGGCCGCUUCUGGGCGCGCUCGGCCCCGGCCCUAAGACAGGCUUGCACGGGGGUGAGAGGACGAAGGUGGUUUCAGCUCCCGCUCGGCUGCCUAGACCGUCACCGCCGACCUCCCAGCUCCCCGGAGCGGGCGCUUCCCCCCUGGGAGCCGCGGCCUUGGGGGGGCGGCGAGGGCGCAAAGUGCGCGCGCGGGCCGGCGCGGGGGUGGGGGGCGGCUGCCGGUCUCUCCGCGGGGCCUGUCGCCGGGCUGGCCGCGGCGGGUGAGUGAUGAGGGCAGAGAAGGGCGCCCAUAAAUCGCGGGUGUCAGGGCGAAAAACUCUCUUUAUUGUCUGCGUGAUGGAUGGGCCCGGGGACGAGACACCAAAUACUUCGUAUCGCCUUUAAAUGGGAACACAUUUUCCGCGGCCAUAAUUCAUGUUUUUUAAAUAGAAAGUUUGAAAUGUUGCCUAUAUUUCACCGGCCCUGACAUAUUUAUGAAUCGCUCCCUGCAUGCAAAUAUCAUUAUUUAAAGCGCCGGGGAGAGCUGGGGGGGGGGAGGGGAGGAGACACGGCCCCCGUGGCGUGGAGGUGGUGAACCGGGGAAAUGCGAGUGGAGAGGGGGGUGCAUCUCCCUAAAGUGCGGACAAUGAGGCGCAGGGGAAAGCCUUAUCCGGAAGCCGAGCGCACCGGGGGCUCCCCUCCCGCGGCUGGAUCCAGCGCUGCGGCUCCGGGAAGUUUGAGCGGCUCGGGACCGAGGACCCGCCCCUGCCCCCUGCGGGAAGACCCCGGAGGGGGGGGCCUUUUGCGUCCCUCUCCGAGGCCCUGAUCCGAGCCAAAGCCACCUUUUCCAAGGAGAAAAUGUUUCUUGUUUUUUUUUUUUUUAAUAAAAGAAUUUAACAAACGCA